UACGGGGGGGGCAAGCGUUGUUCGGAAUUACUGGGCGUAAAGGGCUCGUAGGCGGCCAACUAAGUCAGACGUGAAAUCCCCAGGCUCAACCUGGGAACUGCGUCUGAUACUGGAUGGCUUGAAUCCGGGAGAGGGAUGCAGAAUUCCAGGUGUAGCGGUGAAAUGCGUAGAUAUCUGGAGGAAUACCGGUUGCGAAGGCGGCAUCCUGGACCGGCAUUGACGCUGAGGAGCGAAAGCCAGGGGAGCAAACGGG
RNAcentral lists this ribosomal RNA (253 nucleotides) under uncultured bacterium. RNAcentral's name for it is "partial 16S ribosomal RNA". It matches the Rfam family "Bacterial small subunit ribosomal RNA", at positions 524 to 776 of the family's 1533-position model. The record is from RNAcentral.